Long non-coding RNA from Myzus persicae (green peach aphid), 692 nucleotides. RefSeq lists it as uncharacterized. The record is from RefSeq and is a predicted model, not a curated record. The transcript is spliced from 4 exons. Lineage: Eukaryota; Metazoa; Arthropoda; Insecta; Hemiptera; Aphididae.
CAGUCAUAAAUUUAUUUCUAUUAACGUUGAGUGGGUUUCAUUGCGUAUUCGUAUGCGAAGCGUGAGACGAAUUUGGAAUGUAAAUCAGUGUAUAUUGUUAUAGUAUAAUAUUAUGAUCAGUUUGUUUUACUCGCGUUCGCGUUCCGUCGCAGUUGUCUGAUGCGGAAAUACGACGUGCACAUUUCGACCAGACCAUCCGUCAUCGGCAAUAAUAUUUCACCGUUUGUUUAUUAUAAGACACGAUCGCUCCACCAAUUCGGAAUGUUCGGAUGACGUUUCGUGUACACUGCAGCUAUACGACGAUCACUAGAUGUGUACACAUCAGACGACCAUGACGACGACGGUUUCCACGACGUCCGGACCAAUUGUGUCCGUCCGCCUGCUACACAGUCCGGCCGGAAGUGCAUGCCUAAUAUAAUAACAUCGUAUCCAUCCCCGAGACAAACGUAAAAUAAUGUCCAAGCGACGAAGUGCUGACCUGGGCACGGGGCCGACUUGCCGUCGAUCGCAUAGUAGCAGUGCUACUCCAGACAACAACGACUUACAAACCGUUGUCGUGUCACAGUUAUGAGAAGAUUUAUUAUGCUACCCAUGUCUACGUGAAGUUCACUUGGACCAUCAAUGUGGACUUCAGGAACGACGAUGUGAACGUUGAUGAACGAGGACAUUAUGCCUGUUCCAGUGGAUAUCUG